CAGUCGCCACGGUAAUACGAAGGGUGCAAGCGUUAAUCAGAGUUACUGGGCGUAAAGGGUGCGUAGGCGGUUGUUUAAGUCUGUUGUGAAAUCCCCGGGCUCAACCUGGGAAUGGCAAUGGAAACUGGACGGCUAGAGUGUGUCAGAGGAUGGUGGAAUUCCAGGUGUAGCGGUGAAAUGCGUAGAGAUCUGGAGGAAUACCGGUGGCGAAGGCGGCCCCCUGGACGAAGACUGACGCUCAGGUACGAAAGCGUGGGGAGCAAACAGGAUUAGAUACCCCCGUAGUCCCUGUCUCUUAUAC
RNAcentral lists this ribosomal RNA (301 nucleotides) under uncultured bacterium. RNAcentral's name for it is "partial 16S ribosomal RNA". It matches the Rfam family "Bacterial small subunit ribosomal RNA", at positions 509 to 807 of the family's 1533-position model. The record is from RNAcentral.